This 160-nucleotide ribosomal RNA is filed under the name uncultured bacterium. Its description in RNAcentral is "partial 16S ribosomal RNA". It matches the Rfam family "Bacterial small subunit ribosomal RNA", at positions 355 to 507 of the family's 1533-position model. The record is from RNAcentral.
UGGGGAAUAUUGGACAAUGGGCGAAAGCCUGAUCCAGCCAUGCCGCGUGUGUGAAGAGGGUCUUCGGAUUGUAAAGCACUUUAAGCUGGGAGGAAGGGCAGUAAGCUAAUACCUUGCUGUUUUGACGUUACCGACAGAAUAAGCACCGGCUAACUCUGUG